GAUCUCUAUCACGGCAAGUCCUUUGGGAGUCGUCACGCCGCCCGCCCUCUCCCGCCCUCGCCCGCCCCCGUCGCCUCACCCUCGCCCCUAUCACGCCACCGAGGGACCAGGUGUCAGGUGUAUGUCAGGGUCAAAGCAACGUGGUCAACGAGGAGCUGUACAAGAAAAUCAUCAACGGUGGGGUCAUAUAUAUACAUCUGCCCUCCAAGAUAAGGGAUGUGUAUUUCGUAAGGAAUGGAUCGAGAUGAUGACCCAGCCAGACCUAGCAACCACCAGCCAGCCCCCCUCCUCGUCACCGCCGCCGCCCAUCUCAAGACAAGAGUUGCGAGACGAGGACAGAAAGUAGAGAAGAGGGAGAUAAGGCAAGA
Long non-coding RNA from Eriocheir sinensis (Chinese mitten crab), 368 nucleotides. RefSeq lists it as uncharacterized. NCBI's taxonomy places the organism in Eukaryota, Metazoa, Arthropoda, Malacostraca, Decapoda, Varunidae. The record is from RefSeq and is a predicted model, not a curated record. The transcript is spliced from 3 exons.